RNAcentral lists this ribosomal RNA (22 nucleotides) under uncultured Erwinia sp. RNAcentral describes it as "partial 23S ribosomal RNA". Lineage: Bacteria; Pseudomonadati; Pseudomonadota; Gammaproteobacteria; Enterobacterales; Erwiniaceae. The record is from RNAcentral.
GGUUAAGCGACUAAGGCGUACC